RNAcentral lists this ribosomal RNA (254 nucleotides) under uncultured bacterium. Its description in RNAcentral is "partial 16S ribosomal RNA". It matches the Rfam family "Bacterial small subunit ribosomal RNA", at positions 524 to 776 of the family's 1533-position model. The record is from RNAcentral.
UACGAAGGGGGCUAGCGUUGCUCGGAAUCACUGGGCGUAAAGGGUGCGUAGGCGGGUCUUUAAGUCAGGGGUGAAAUCCUGGAGCUCAACUCCAGGAACUGCCUUUGAUACUGAGGAUCUUGAGUUCGGGAGAGGUGAGUGGAACUGCGAGUGUAGAGGUGAAAUUCGUAGAUAUUCGCAAGAACACCAGUGGCGAAGGCGGCUCACUGGCCCGAUACUGACGCUGAUGCACGAAAGCGUGGGGAGCAAACAGG